This is a long non-coding RNA of Pristis pectinata (smalltooth sawfish), 656 nucleotides long. RefSeq lists it as uncharacterized. The transcript has 3 exons. The record is from RefSeq and is a predicted model, not a curated record. Lineage: Eukaryota; Metazoa; Chordata; Chondrichthyes; Rhinopristiformes; Pristidae.
CGGACUGGGGAGGCGCGGAAGACCGUAAAACCUGGCGACCAUAAUUUGAGGAUUGGGCGAGGGAGCAGAAGCUCGUCCGAUGGCGCCAGAAGUUCUGAGAUGUUCGUCCUCGCCAGCGUGAGAAUGUAUGUGCCCUUCGACUAAAACCGAGAGAAUUUUCCAUUUGAUGGUCCCUCCAAGAAUACAUCCAAGAAAACUGAAGUUAAUAAAAAAACAUUGGUAAAAUAUAAAGUACGGUUGGCAAUGCCCAGCACACAUCUGAUGCCACCAAUUGUGGGAAGCCUCAACUGUACAAGAGGACCAUUUCUUCUUCUUUGAGGUCCAGAAUCAGCAUAGGCUGCAAAAUUUUCUCCAUUGCUUGGAUCUGGAAACUUCCAGUCCUGAUCCAGAGUAUGCAGUAGUUAAUAAAAUUCCAUGGACUUUCUGUCAUCUAACCUCUGGCCUAGUGUGCACACCCAAAGUUGCCAGUUCGGCUUGCGCCAAAUGGGACCUGCAGGACAAGCUGUCAGGCAGUCUUAUGGUGAUAAAACACUUGGAUGCCAUUCCCUGAUGUCUGGUUAUUCUUUUCAAGAUCCACACCCAGAUUCAGCACAUAAUCUGGCACUUGAGUUCUGUAUAAUCAUGAGACCAUGCGUUCUGGAAUUCUGAAACUACAC